RNAcentral lists this ribosomal RNA (253 nucleotides) under uncultured bacterium. RNAcentral's name for it is "partial 16S ribosomal RNA". It matches the Rfam family "Bacterial small subunit ribosomal RNA", at positions 524 to 776 of the family's 1533-position model. The record is from RNAcentral.
UACAGAGGUCCCAAGCGUUGUUCGGAUUCACUGGGCGUAAAGGGUGCGUAGGUGGUGGGGUAAGUCUGAUGUGAAAUCUUCGAGCUUAACUCGGAAAUGGCAUUGGAUACUACUCUGCUAGAGGUUUGGAGGGGGGACUGGAAUUCUCGGUGUAGCAGUGAAAUGCGUAGAUAUCGAGAGGAACACCAGUGGCGAAGGCGAGUCCCUGGACAACACUUGACACUGAGGCACGAAAGCUAGGGGAGCAAACAGG